This 340-nucleotide long non-coding RNA is filed under the name Homo sapiens (human). RNAcentral describes it as "non-protein coding lnc-TPD52-3:5". The record is from RNAcentral. Lineage: Eukaryota; Metazoa; Chordata; Mammalia; Primates; Hominidae.
AAAACAACAACGAGCUUUUCUCUCCUCUCUGGGGAUCCUGGUCAGCUUCACAUUGGUGGCCCAGAAAUCAGUCUCAGCCCCUCCCAGUAUGGACCGCUCCUUGACAGCCGCCCUCUCUCCUAUAAAGGCAGAUGCAAGCUACGUUUGUGUGGGGAUGACACAGCACAAAGGCCCUUGCCAGAUGUGAGCCCCUUGAUAUUGGAUUUCCCAGUCUUCAGAACUGUCGAAAAGCCCAGGAAUGUUCUAGAAUAUAUGAUUGGCGAGGACCCUCACUGGUGCCAUCCACAUCUUCUCUUCAGGACUGGGAACGUUGGCAGCUGAUGAUCCUCUGGGAAGUUCC